UAAGGAAUAUUGGUCAAUGGACGCAAGUCUGAACCAGCCAUGCCGCGUGGAGGAUGAAGGUCCUCUGGAUUGUAAACUUCUUUUAUCUGGGACGAAACACUUCUUUUCUAAGAGGCCUGACGGUACCAGAUGAAUAAGCACCGGCUAACUCCGUGCCAGCAGCCGCGGUAAUACGGAGGGUGCAAGCGUUAUCCGGAUUCACUGGGUUUAAAGGGUGCGUAGGUGGGUAUGUAAGUCAGUGGUGAAAUCCCCGAGCUUAACUUGGGAACUGCCAUUGAUACUAUAUAUCUUGAAUACCGUAGAGGUAAGCAGAAUAUGUCCUGUAGCGGUGAAAUGCUUAGAUAUGACAUGGAACACCAAUUGCGAAGGCAGCUUACUAUGCGGUGAUUGACACUGAGGCACGAAAGCGUGGGUAGCAAACA
RNAcentral lists this ribosomal RNA (422 nucleotides) under uncultured bacterium. RNAcentral describes it as "bacterial SSU rRNA". It matches the Rfam family "Bacterial small subunit ribosomal RNA", at positions 355 to 774 of the family's 1533-position model. The record is from RNAcentral.